This 395-nucleotide ribosomal RNA is filed under the name uncultured bacterium. RNAcentral describes it as "partial 16S ribosomal RNA". It matches the Rfam family "Bacterial small subunit ribosomal RNA", at positions 523 to 916 of the family's 1533-position model. The record is from RNAcentral.
AUACGUAGGGGGCGAGCGUUGUCCGGAAUGACUGGGCGUAAAGGGCGUGUAGGCGGCGGUGUAAGUCUGGAGUGAAAGUCCCGCAUUCAAUGUGGGAAUUGCUUUGGAUACUGCAGAGCUAGAGUGCGGAAGAGGUAAGUGGAAUUCCCAGUGUAGCGGUGAAAUGCGUAGAGAUUGGGAGGAACACCAGUGGCGAAGGCGACUUACUGGGCCGUAACUGACGCUGAGGCGCGAAAGCGUGGGGAGCGAACAGGAUUAGAUACCCUGGUAGUCCACGCGGUAAACGAUGAAUGCUAGGUGUUGCGGGUAUCGACCCCUGCAGUGCCGGAGUAAACACAAUAAGCAUUCCGCCUGGGGAGUACGGCCGCAAGGUUGAAACUCAAAUGAAUUGACGG